This 2377-nucleotide long non-coding RNA is filed under the name Harpegnathos saltator (Jerdon's jumping ant). RNAcentral describes it as "uncharacterized LOC105190219, transcript variant X6". Lineage: Eukaryota; Metazoa; Arthropoda; Insecta; Hymenoptera; Formicidae. The record is from RNAcentral.
UGCAUAUUUAUCUUCUUGUGCUUCCUCCUCUUAUCUCUUUGAAGAAUAGAGUUUGUUGCAGCAGUUGCUUAAAGAUAAAAAUCCAGAAGGUCAAAGAAACGGUUGUGCCUUGUUACAAUUGACUGAGAAAACCGUAUCUACUGUGGAAAUCAUUUCAUAGUACAAUAUGUAACUUGCUUGAGAUAUUUAUAACAAGCAAAUACAUUGUAUUGUGAAAUGAUUUAAUGAAUGUUUUCCAUAGAUCGGCUAUAAAAUGUCAUGAUCAACAACAGAUAUCGCUUCCAUGAAAGAGUAGAACGAGAAAAAGCAUGAAAACGAUAUAAAAUGUUACUGUAAACAAGAUUAUAUUUAAAUAUGAGCAGGUAAAAAGAACUUAUGAAAAGCUCGUAAAUCUGAAGCUAUUUAUCUUCAUAUCUGGAAGAAAACAGAUCAAACUGAAUGAAACGUGUGAUUAGAAAUUUCGUAGAAUUGCUCCGGUUUGUUUCAAUGUAUUAAAGAUCAUUUACAGUGGAAGUAUAUAUAGAGCGUAUAAACACGUGUUCGUUUAUCAUGCCUGCAUCCACCUACGUACUUACGACACGUGCACGAGCGGCAGUUCUGUUUACACGAACGAAAAGUACGCAAUUGCUUCUUCAUGAUGGCAAUAUUAUCAUUAUUGCAGUCCCUUUUGGCAAAAUUGGAGCUUACCGCAGUGAUCGAAUAUCAAAAAGAACUCGAGAUCAAGGGAUAAGAGGACAAAAAGCCUUCGCUGAAUACAUCACCUAAGAAAGUCAGGACACAAAGCAAAAAUAUUACGUGUACAGAAGAGAACACGAAAAUAAUAUUUCCGAGGAAUAUUUUAUCCGAAUACACAAUUGAGAGACAGACUGAAAGGCGAGAAAGGAUAGUCUCGACAUUGUAAAGUUAAUGCAGAUGUUGUCGGUGACGGGAAAAUCCGUUGGAUUGCGAAAGGAAGUCAGACAAGGAGACGUUUCCUGCGGGAUUUUUCGCUGUUGGGCUCGAAGAGGCCGAAUUUUCAUUGCGCGCCAGUCGUCCCGCUGCAUCGAACUCGACUCGGGCAAGCCCUCUUCAGACAAUAACGCGGUUCACACACGCCGAAUACAUACACUGAUUGUCGUUACCACGUGAUUACUCUGUGACCCGAUAUGUUCUGCGAUUAGAGCUGCGGCGCAAUAACGAUAUUCGCACACGAGAAUUGGAUGUGAAUCAAUUCUCGCCUACUGCGCAGAAUACAUUUCCCCGUGUAUGUACGUACAUCUCUUGCAUUGCGGCGUCAGCGCUUUCGAGCUAAACGGACGCAUUUUUCCGUAAGAUUGCGCAAGAACGCGAAAGUCCGCCUGACUCCCGGGCGAAAUAUUCGCGUCUCUACACGCUCUCACGCGCUCCCACGUCUCUUCCUCCUCAAACAUGCAUUUUGCGUUGCACUGUUACUCGUUGCAUCGUCCUGCAUAUCGUCGCUCUCUGACUGAUUUAAAUUAAGCUCUCUCGUAAAAUCAAUGCACGCGGACGAAUAUGUAUGUAUAGCGGAUGUACCGGUGAACGACGAUAAGUUGCAUUUUUCGUUUCUACCUUGAAUUGUCGUCGACGUCGUAAGUGUAUUCUUAUGUAACGAUACACUUACGGCAAAUUACGGCCGUACGGCCGUAUGCCGGUGAAAUCAAACGGAAAUCGUUUGGAUGAUGAUCGAUAAUUAUCAAAGAUUUAAACAUUGUAACGGACAAUUGGUUCGCAAUAAGCGAAUUCGUGCGGUAACUGACUAAGAUUAAUUGCACAAAUUUUACACAGCUUAAUUGGUCAUUGGCUAUUAGCUAUGUGCGAAUGUGUUAAUCAACAAUAUCAAAUCGAUCGACGAUUGCGGAGAAUGACUGCACCGCACCGCGUGUUCUACGCGAGCGAAUGAGAGACCUCGUCCGUGGAGGCGAUUGAAAAGGCGAAGUUCUUUGUACCGUGUUUCGGUAUUAUCGGCUCAUUAAAAUAAUAGUCGUGACUCACGCGUUCAGCCAUGGAGUGACGUAAAUCGACGAUGGCGUGUUUACCGUUCGCCUUAGAUACAUACGCAUGUAUCUGGGACACUAAUAAUUAGCAAUACUCUACACGUCUCACACGGGACCGAGCUCGCGUAAUGCUCUUCGUUCUUUCUCACCCGAUAGUUUCGACUGAAAAUACUCCUUGACGUGUGUGCGUUCGACGUAAGGCGUACGUAGGGCACGACGAACAUUGUUCCGCGCCGACGUUUUGUCUGAGCUUUCAAUGUCGCGCAAUACAUGCGAUCGCGGUUUGCUCCCGACGUUGCGUUUUUCGUUUUUCUUUCUCUUUUUCAAAAACGCGAAUUACUUUACUAGCAAUAAACAUCGGCUCAACCGGUAGAACCGGUAGA